This 685-nucleotide long non-coding RNA is filed under the name Pongo abelii (Sumatran orangutan). RNAcentral describes it as "lincRNA". The record is from RNAcentral. Lineage: Eukaryota; Metazoa; Chordata; Mammalia; Primates; Hominidae.
UAGCAUUCGCCAAGGAUGAACUGAAAGCAGGAUCUGUCUCACCAUACACUGAGAACUGUAGAAUAUGCAAGGCACAUGGAACUUAUUUUCUUACAUAUAAAAGCAUGUAUAUGCUCCUUAUACAUCUGUCCUAAUGCUUUCCAACAGUCCUCACUCUAAGCCUCACCAAGACCCAGAUGAGGAAACAAAGGCGCAGAGGGAUAAACUCAGAGCAGGAAGACAGCAAGGAAGAGCAGUGAAAAGCCUGGUGCUUAAUCCAACCCCUUACUCACUGCUGAGACCUGGAAAUUUGUUCAUCAGCUACAAAACAGGAGAGAUGAUAACUCAUUAUGUAUGUGUGAUGAUAAACAGAGACAAUAUAUUGAAGAGCUUAUAUGAGUGGCAGACAUGGGACAUGCUUCCCUGUGGCUGGCCAGCCUGUCAUCUUCUCCACCAUGUGUCCAGAGAAAAGCUUUGCAAAUCAACCUCUCGAUGAAUGAUGAUGGCACCAGUGAAAUCAGGGGAGGCAGAAAAUCAUGUUAGUUUGGUUUAUAAUGCAAGAAGUUACAGAAUACAGAGUGCUCAAAACUAAGAAUGUGCUAGUUGUAUAACAGGGUCCUUCUUGGAACUCAGCCAGGAUUCAAACUAUAAAGGAAAAUCGGGUGAGCAGGUGGAAUAGUCAAGUGAUUCUAUUUGCAUGAAUAAA